This 253-nucleotide ribosomal RNA is filed under the name uncultured bacterium. Its description in RNAcentral is "partial 16S ribosomal RNA". It matches the Rfam family "Bacterial small subunit ribosomal RNA", at positions 524 to 776 of the family's 1533-position model. The record is from RNAcentral.
UACGUAGGGUGCGAGCGUUGUCCGGAAUUAUUGGGCGUAAAGGGCUCGUAGGCGGUCUGUCGCGUCGGGAGUGAAAACUCAGGGCUUAACCCUGAGCCUGCUUCCGAUACGGGCAGACUAGAGGUAUGCAGGGGAGACUGGAAUUCCUGGUGUAGCGGUGGAAUGCGCAGAUAUCAGGAGGAACACCGGUGGCGAAGGCGGGUCUCUGGGCCGAUACUGACGCUGAGGAGCGAAAGCGUGGGGAGCGAACAGG